CCUACGGGAGGCAGCAGUGGGGAAUUUUCCGCAAUGGGCGAAAGCCUGACGGAGCAAUACCGCGUGAGGGAGGAAGGCUCUUGGGUUGUAAACCUCUUUUCUCAGGGAAGAUAAUGACGGUACCUGAGGAAUAAGCAUCGGCUAACUCCGUGCCAGCAGCCGCGGUAAUACGGAGGAUGCAAGCGUUAUCCGGAAUGAUUGGGCGUAAAGCGUCCGCAGGUGGUUUUGAAAGUCUGCUGUUAAAGCGUGCGGCUUAACCGCAUAAGGGCAGUGGAAACUAUGAGACUAGAGUGCGUUAGGGGCAGAGGGAAUUCCCAGUGUAGCGGUGAAAUGCGUAGAGAUUGGGAAGAACACCGGUGGCGAAGGCGCUCUGCUAUACCGUAACUGACACUGAGGGACGAAAGCUAGGGGAGCGAAUGGGAUUAGAUACCCCAGUAGUCCUAGCCGUAAACGAUGGAUACUAGGCGUUGUCUGUAUCGACCCGGACAGUGCCGUAGCUAACGCGUUAAGUAUCCCGCCUGGGGAGUACGCAGGCAACUGUGAAACUCAAAGGAAUUGACGGCUGAGACUCCGAAGCGACACAGGGAGUAGG
RNAcentral lists this ribosomal RNA (592 nucleotides) under uncultured bacterium. RNAcentral's name for it is "bacterial SSU rRNA". It matches the Rfam family "Bacterial small subunit ribosomal RNA", at positions 338 to 945 of the family's 1533-position model. The record is from RNAcentral.